AAUUCUCAACCAUCUUUUGAUCGAUUUCGAGGGAUGGCUUGGAUCUUGGGAGUUUGCUGGCCGAGUCCUUCGGGACGGGGUCGGCUCUCCUUAAAAGCAUUAGCGAAAGGCGACAAAGCCCUGCAUGCACGGCCUUCGACGUGAUAAUGAUCGUCGUGGCUGGAGUGCGAGGCGUAGAUCGUCCUUUGCUUCCAAAAACCAUGGUAUUGGAGACUUUGCUUCGGCGGACGAACCUUUUACCUUUUGAC
This 248-nucleotide unclassified non-coding RNA is filed under the name uncultured Melanogaster. Its description in RNAcentral is "sequence contains ITS2". The record is from RNAcentral. Lineage: Eukaryota; Fungi; Basidiomycota; Agaricomycetes; Boletales; Melanogastraceae.